GUGAUAGAGCAGCAAACAUGGCGUAGAGCGGAGGGUCUGCAGAGACGGGGCCGAGGGGAGCUUCUCCUCUCCGGGCUGAAAGGAGGGAGGAAAGGGGGCCCGACCGACGGUGUUCUACGGUGGAAUCUUCUCUGAGUAUCCCCUCACUUGGCACGGCUUCUGUCCUUGCAGUUAACCCGGUAAGACGCCCGGUUCUGCGGACCUGAGUGUGUGAGCGUAGAAGAAGAAAGGCUUUGUUUACCUGCUGCAGCUGAAACACCUGCAUCACCACACCAAGGAUGGUUUCUCCGGUGAAAGCCGCUGAAGCGCAGGACUGGAGGAACAUCUCAUCUCAAAUCUGCUCCAUCAGCCGGACCCGGACCCGCAGACCUGGGGAGGGAUUUUUGGACGUCUCCUUCCUGCUGUCGCUGGGACACUGGCCUUCUCUCCUCCACCCCUCAAGCCUCAGUAUCAGCCCGGUUCUGCAGCCUGAUGACCGGGACGUCUGCUGAGACAGUGGGAUCCCAUCAUGCACUCUGUCUGCGUCUACAUGCAGCCAAAUCCUGGCUUUGCAGUCCCUAAAUAUGCUCCAUCAUUUGGGUGUUUCUUGUCAGAUUUGGCUGCAUGUAAACACUCCCUGAAUACGUAUUUUCUCCCUCCUGGGAUCAAAGUGAAGACACAAGAUACUGUAGCAUAGAUCAAGGCCUGUGAUUUACUCAGACUCAUAGGGUGUUUUAUUUCAUUUAGUACACUACCUCAUCGCCACAACUAGUCCAGUGAGAUCAGUACGAGCCUCCGGAUGGCUGUCAGCACCACAGCAGUUAUACUGUGUUCCCGGGUUCAUUUACUUUAAGGGACGUUGUUGACAGACGUUAUUUACUUUAACUUCUUCAAAUAUUUUAAGGAGAACUCUCAAACUGUGGUCUCCAUAUGCAUCUGUCUUUAGUGUAAAGUCUGCAGGUGAAUUAAGAAGAUUUAAGAGAUGGAAUUGGCAGUAUUCCCCUCAAACGCAGUCAGAUUUUCUUCCCUUAUUAAUCCCAUUUCUGGUCCUUCAGGCUUCCUUACAUUUUUUAAAUUGCAAAUAAGUUCAUAAAUCAAAAAAACUGGUAUUAAAAUGUAUUAAAUGAAUCCAUUUAAAUAGAAAAAGAGCUCAAACAUGGGAAGUAUAGUUUGAUCAAUUGUUCUUUUCUCAUUAUCUCCAAAUAAUAAGAAACAUCCAUUUAAAAAAAGCCAAACAAAUGCCUCUGAAGGUCACGCAGAUGAAGGGAAAUGCAUGUAUGGUUAUUCUAAAAAGGUGAUGAGGAAAAGAGGAGCAUUAAGAAUGAAUUAUAUUUUAUAUAUUCAUUUAUAAUAUUUGGUCUUAUCCUGGAUAUGUCACCGUUUUUGCUCUCGUUUAGGACUUAGGAGCUGCAGGAAAGACAGAUUUAAUCCUUUGCUUUGACACUAAAUAACCCAAACAUAUCAAACUGUAAGUCCAGUAAGCAGAGAGGAGCCUCUUCUGAAGGAAACCCUGGUCCCAUUUUCCCCGUUUAGUUUUAUUUGUAUAUGAAAAAGGCAAAAAAAAAUACUACCGGGAUUUGUGCAAUAUUUGAUCCUGACUGUCAUGUUGUUGACCAAACUGUAUAUUGUAAACAAAACAAGUGACGAGUUGUUUGAAAGCAACAAAAUCACCAAUGUCUUCCAUUAAGAUUUGUAUAGAGUCAUGAGCAUCAGCUUCUCCAGCGGUGCGGACCUUAUCGUAGCCGUGCAUGACCCGUAGUGACGCUCGCUUCCUGGGGAAUCAACAUCCAGACUGACGAGGAGAUCAAAACCACGUCAGUAAAAUAAAGAAAAAACACCUUUUUAAAAUCGGCCACGUCUAGAUCCUGCUGAACCAUUAGACGAAUGCAAAGUCUCCUCGGGUGUAGACUUAAAAAAAGUGUGAUUUUAGGUGGAAAUGCUCCUUAUAACGAGUGCUUUCUAUCAGACCUGCUGUAGCAGAAAUGAUAUCCAUGCAUGCUUGAGGGUUAAAAUAAUAAGGCAUUUGUGACGCAGAAAAUCUCCUUAAAUCGAAUCUCUGACGUGGUGGAGAAAUGCUAGAUUUGGAUAUAAUCUUUAGGGUUUUAGUGCUAGACUUUAAUCAUCAUGUUAUUGUACAUAAUACCUCAUAGUUUCGGGAUUCAGAGCGAGAUAUUUUAAUCCAUAAAAUUGUAUUUGAUUAUAGGUUUUAGAAGCAAUAACCUACAAUAAUGCAUGAGUUUAGUGCCAGGGUGUACGUGUUAAAGGAGGGUGUAAUGCCCCCCCUCCUGUGUAGCAUUAUAUUUCCUUUUUAUUAUAAUUAUUAAAGGCGAGUUGCAUAAUAUCCGGCUUUAGAAUACAGUAUCACUAAUGAAGGCUUGGGAUGCUUCCUGCAGAACACGUGAGGACACAUGUAGCAUCACAUAUCACAGACUUCUAUUUUUCCCUGUUUUUUCUUAACACCAGAGUACAUGAGAGAUGCUUUAAAGAGGCCCUAUCAUGCUCUGAUGUUCAGAAAGAUCUUUAUUUCUCUCAUACUGUCGCUCUCUUUUCACCCUCUGUCUGAAACCAGAGUCCACUCUGCUCUGAUUGGUUAGCUGGUCGGCUCCGUUGUGACACUUAGAGCCUAUCACGCGCUCCUAUUGGUGUAAGAGCACCGUGUUUCGUGGUGAUGUAAACACAGGAGUCCGAUGGAGGCGUUUCAGGCACAAAAACCACACAGCAGGAGAGGGGAACCCCAAAGUGCUUAAUGGGGCCUCUUUAAUUAUACAUCUAGUAGCAUUUUCUAAAUCCAACCCCUUGAUUUCAGUACCUGUGGUUGCAGAGGUUUCACUGACUGAACUUGAAAAGCACUUUCUCUCGAUGUACUGACUUGCACUGUCGUCAUCCUGUCUCUGAAUACUGUGUUCUAAACAUACCGCUCUACACGGGGAUUUAUAAUCACACUUUAUAUCAACAAGUAGGCGUCUAAGCAAGCUUGAGUAUACGGGGGGUUUAAAAAAUAUGCAUGACUUAGAAUAACGAAUGAUUUGUAUUGCAUGCAAUAAUCCGACUCUGUAAUGUGGAUGAGUGUAACUAGGCGUUUGAGAUGUUCUGUGACAAAGAGACAACCUGGGGACGGUUUGUUUGACACAACAGCAUGUGGAAGAAGCUUUUUACUGACUGAACUGCACCAAAAAACUGAAGAUAUACCUUAUAACACUCCCUGUUGUGUCAAACAGGACCACCGUGCAGCUGGAGUCACUGCUCAGCCUUCUGUUCCCACGAAAAGAAUAAACUAAAGUUUGAUUCUCGAUGACAUUACUGUAGAAACUAUGCACUCCAGAGGGAGGAGAUGGGCAUGCUUGUUACGUGUGAGCCUUUUGUCUGGUUUUGUAUUAACACAAAAAAAGAAAUCUGUAUCAGAAAUUCAGCAAUAAAAUGCAGCAUGGUGCCAACA
This is a long non-coding RNA of Eleginops maclovinus (Patagonian blennie), 3415 nucleotides long. RefSeq lists it as uncharacterized. Lineage: Eukaryota; Metazoa; Chordata; Actinopteri; Perciformes; Eleginopidae. The transcript is spliced from 2 exons. The record is from RefSeq and is a predicted model, not a curated record.